UACAGAGGUCCCAAGCGUUGUUCGGAUUCACUGGGCGUAAAGGGUGCGUAGGCGGUCGGGUAAGUCUGAUGUGAAAUCUCACAGCUUAACUGUGAAACUGCAUUGGAUACUAUCCGGCUCGAGGAAUGGAGGGGAGACUGGAAUACAUGGUGUAGCAGUGAAAUGCGUAGAUAUCAAGUGGAACACCAGUGGCGAAGGCGAGUCUCUGGACAUUUCCUGACGCUGAGGCACGAAAGCCAGGGGAGCAAACGGG
Molecule: ribosomal RNA, 253 nt
Filed under: uncultured bacterium
Lineage: Bacteria
Description: partial 16S ribosomal RNA
Rfam family: Bacterial small subunit ribosomal RNA
Source: RNAcentral